CCUACGGGAGGCAGCAGUUGGGGAUUUUGCACAAUGGACGCAAGUCUGAUGCAGCGACACUGCGUGAGGGGAUGAAGGUUUUCGGAUCGUAAACUUCUUUAGCGGGGAGUAAUCUGAAAGU
This 121-nucleotide ribosomal RNA is filed under the name uncultured bacterium. RNAcentral's name for it is "partial 16S ribosomal RNA". It matches the Rfam family "Bacterial small subunit ribosomal RNA", at positions 338 to 458 of the family's 1533-position model. The record is from RNAcentral.